GAUUACUGAUGGCAUUUCGGAGAGAUGCUGUUGAUGAGGUUUAACAUUGAAUAACAGUGAUGUUGUAAAUCUAGUUUGUUGAUGAUGGCGUAGAAACUAGAUGUUUAAUGGGCGAUUUAAUUAAAAGAGCCUCUGAUUUAAUACUUAUAGUUAAAAUGUAAAAAGGUAUAUAGCCGUAUACCUAGUAAUAAUAAUAAUGUAUACAUUUCUUUCCUGUGUUACAAAAGCAGUAUCUGUAAAUAGUUUGCGUGUAAUAUUCUUCCACUAGUAGUAGUACAUGAAAUUCCCUUAGACUAUUAUUUAUAACGUUGAGUCAUAGCAUGCUAAAAUUAAAAAUAUAAGGUUAUACAUGUCAAAGUCACAUGAGCUCAGAUAACCACAAGGCCUAAUCAGAAGAACACGGUAUAUUUACAGGAACUAUUUAUAUAAAGGAACUUCCUUGUUUAAUAGGUUAAUAUCAUGUUGAACAGCCAAUCAAAGUUUGCUUUCAUAAACAGGGUAAAUGGUUUGACAGUUCUCCCGGGAACAGAAAUGUGGCGUACACUAAGUUCUAAUGACGAAAGAAACUAAAAUAAAAAAAAUAUAUAUAAUGAUUUAAGUAAUUGAAACAGUUCUUGACAAUACUAUCACUUAGUUUCACUUUAUAAGUGCAAAACUAGUGAACCCAAAUGAUUGCACUUGAAAUUUUGCCCCACAGGUAUCCACAAAGCCUUGAGAGAAGAAUCCAGAUACACACUGGUCAACAUUUGUGUAGAAGGAUGUUUUCAUACUGUAACCGUGACACAAUAUUCAAAGCAUACCUUCUGGUAGCUAUGUGUCUAAACCUUACAUUCUACAACCUAAUCACAGCCUAUUCUCGACAAAUAACUAAAGGUCCUCGGUACUUCACCACAACAGUUGUUUUCCUGGCAGAGCUUUUAAAACUUGCAGUAUCUCUUAUUAUGCUACUAUAUUCAUGUGAAUGGCAUGUGUGGAAACUGAAAAUACUUCUAGAAACAGAAAUGUUGCAGAAACCAAUGGAAUUUGCUAAAUUAGUCAUACCAGCUGGACUUUAUGCUCUCCAGAACAACUUGGUUUACAUUGCCCUGUCUAACCUCGAUCCUGCUACAUAUCAGGUUACCAGUAAUUUAAAACUGGUUACAACAGUCAUUUUUCAUGCGCAUUAUUCUUCAUCGACAAUUCAAAUACUUCCAGUGGACUGCAAUACUUAUGUUGUUUGUUGGCAUUGUCUUGGUUCAGAUUCAUGCAGAGAUGUUUUCAGUUUCAAACAGUGGACAUUACCUGUGGGGCUUGACGUCCAUCCUAGUUAUUGCUGUCUGUGCCGGGUUUGCUGAAACUUUGAAAUGUAUCUCUGGGGCCUCCUGUCAUCUAGCAUUGGGAUUAUCAGCUAUGAUUUGGGCAGCAUUAAGCAAAAUGGCUUUCUACAUGGUUAUACUUCAGCUGUCUGGUUUAUUGUUGGUAUGUCUGGUGCAGGUGGACUGUAUGCCUCAUUGGUCAUCAAAUACUUGGAUAACAUCCUCAAAAACUUCUCAUCUUGCUCAGCAAUAGUUCUGACCACUAUUGGUUCUAACAUUGUUUUUAACACAGAUACUGGAGGUUUUUUUGUUAUUGGUAGUAUUCUUGUUUGUUUUUCGGUAUUCUUGUACAGCAUGGAAAUUUCCACAUGAUGAUUCCAUUUUGUGGAAGCAAUAUUUUGUUUUAUUACCAUAUACAUCUUUUAGAGUAACAUCUAUAACUCACAUGAAUGUAACUCUUAAAAACUACUUUUAAAAAUUUGGUUCAGGAGGAAAUCUGUAAUACUUCUUGCUUUAGAACAUUCACAGUAUGCUACAAAUCGGAGAACUCAUGGUUCAUGUCAUGGUGUAAGUUUUGAAUACACUGCAAGGGCAUUAUAACCAUGCUAUUCAGUUAAGUGUAUGCAGUGGGUUCUGUUGAUUGUUGCAUUUCUUCUGGUCAGUAGUUCUAAGUUAAGGAUGGCUCUGCCUGAACCAGUUAGACUGUGUGACGCAUAAGUAUGGUACUGACGUUAGAAACAACAAAUACUAUAAUGAUCAUUGAAACAAUUAUCAUAUUUUAUUAGUUAAUUUUCAUAGAUUUUUUAAUUUGUUUAUACUCUAUAUUUUUUAAGAAACAAAGGCAUAUUGACAUAGUCUAAGGUCAGUUGUACAUACAUAAAUUUAAUGGAAAUUUAAUGAUGAAUGCAUGCAACAGAUAGUAUUUUAAAGCUUUGGAUGUGGGGAGUUUAAUAUGCUUUAUUGCCAUUUAAUUUGGACAAGGCCAAGGUCAAAUGUGAAGGCUAAACGUUAAGCAUUAUAAAAAUAACAUGAAAUAUAGUUUCAAAACUUUUAUUAUGGUGUCAUUCUAGUCAAAUCAUGUAUUUGACCAAAUAUUAACAACAACAAGAUAACUUGACAUACUUAAAAAUAUAACUUGACACUUUUACAGAAAUCUAAGUGAUGCAGAACAACAUAAUCAAUGAAACAAAGCACAGUUACAUAUCUUCAGAGCUAUUAUCAUUGUUAUCUUCAACCUCUAUUGGAAGAUUCAUCAUCACAUUUUCACAAUUUUCAUAAUCUGUUCCACUCACAUUUACAUAUUUUUGUGCAAUAAAAGCUUGCUAGUUUGCCCUAGCAACAUGAUGAUGAGCAAGAACUUCUACUAUUUAAUAAGCUGAAUCAUUCUCUCUAGAGCUGCAGGUAUGUACAUUGCCAUAAGAACAAUGACACUAUCUUCUAGUUGUCAUCCAUGGUCACAAAGAUCUGGAAUGCUGGAUUUACCAACAUCAUCCUGUUCCCUCGCCAUCACCAUAUAGUUGACUCUUUUGAUCAUCUUACUUAGCACUAACCUGGUUGGAGGGAGAUGCUCUUACUCAGCUUGUUUCUAGUGAACAUCUUCCACCUCAACUCAGACACUUUGAUGUGUGGUGUUGUUGGUUCUUACAGCUCUUUCAUGAAUUUUUUAUUGUUUGUGAUGCUGCCUCCAGAACUUUAACAUAUUUACUCAGUAAAGGCUUCAAUAACUCCUUCCAAAAAGUUAGUUUUCCUUCACCUGCAAUUGACAUUGCAUCCUCAAAAUGCAUGAAACCCUGGGAGAGCCGAUACUUUCUUACUUUCUAGGGCAUCAUAGGCUUCAAUGGAAUUAUAUGCCUUAGUCUGCUAGUUCCUGAUACUAUAAAUAUAUCUUCACACAAUUUUGGAUAGCAGUGAAGUGCCAGUAUCAAUACAUCAGUAUCAGAUGCAUGUAUCUCCAGUUUGUCAGUUCCCUUUUCUGUAGAAUCCACAGCAUAAAGUUUCAGUCCUGUGUUGGCUUCUUUUGUGCUUCUUAGGUGUUUGACAUUUAGGUGAUUUGACAUAGCUUCUUCCCUGAAAGUCACAACAACAUCUUUCAUUGACUUUUCAAAAUGAAGGAUACAUUUUGCAGCCAAGUAUAAUGUGAGUCUAUCUUUUUUUAAUGUAUGAGACAAAAAUCUCUGUGCUGAAACAUGUUAAGCUUUAGUAGUGCCAUCCACAAUGUAAUCUACUGGUUCAUGAUUCCCUGUUAUUAUUUUCCUGGUCAUACUCUUGAGAGACUUGUCUACAUUGUAGUGAUCAAAUAUAAUAUGAAAUUCAUGAAAACCUUCCAUUUAACUUUCCAAUCUUGACAGGAAGUAAUCAGCAGCUCAGUAAAUUUUUUUUUUACUGUAUUUGGCUUCCCAUUUCUUGUACAAGUGACAUGGCAUCAACAAGCAUGGCUUUUCUCUCCUGUGAUUGCUGCAUGUGACUGUCUUUCUGUGUGUCAUCAGUCUGGGAGACCAAGGCUUUCAAUUCAUGACAUAAUUUACUCUUGUUUAGGCAGGGCAAAAGAUUACUAUCAACAGCAAACAUAGAACGUGAAUGCAAGGCAAAUUCAUAGGUCCCAGUAGAUUCCUUCAACUCAGUAUCCGGACAAGAUCUCAUGGCAAGUAAGAAUCUAUGAAAUAGUGCACUAUCCUCUUUCAGACUUAUGACUUAUUUUUUUAACUAGUGUCUUAGCACCUUUCCAUACCUUCAGGUUUAUUUUCUUCAUAGGAGACCAAAAACCCAUAUGAAUUGAUGUAAUUCAUUUAGAAACAAACAUCAGGUAUUGUUCUUCAUUUGUCCUGAGAAGAUCCACAGUAACAUCAUCUGGCAUCAAUGUUUUCAUGAUGAUAUUCAUCACAGGCUUGUUCCCCUAAAACGGAUUAGUGUGAUGCGAGAUCAAAUUUUUCAGUUUUAUAACUAGCCUUUUGACUUUUCAGUAUAGAUGCUGACAUUUCAUGAUGUGUAUUUUUUUCUCUUGCACAGGAGUUCCAUCAAGUUCAUGCACUUCUUCUGAAAGAUAAGCCUAUUCUGAAGCAGUAAGGAAAAACCUUCUACAGGUUUUAGGAUUCAAUGUAAUGUCAGAGAGGCUAAGUGUUUAAUUCCAUGAUCUGCUACUAUAGCACAGAAUUCAGUGUUUAAUUUGCUAACAACAAAUUUCCCCUCUUUAAAUUCCUGGAUAAUGAGAGAAUCGGUCCUCUCCAGGCUCCUCGUUUCUGCAACAUAAAAAGGAAUCAUCUGUGAAUAGUGGAGCUUGUCAUGGGCAAAAAAAUAUUUGUACAUAUCUUCCAAACUUGUGAGGUGAAGUUCCCAUGAAGUAUCCCUUGUGGCUUUAAUAAACAGUAGCAGAUACAAGACCAUCAUAUAUGAGAUAUGUCCUGUGCAGUGGGUGUUUUUCAUCUCCAUGUAACUUUUCCAACAAUUUUCUGACUUUAUUUUCAGACACAAAUAAUCACAUUAUUUUCUCAAACUCACUAAAUCAUCACUUUUCAUUGCAUCAAUGACUGUUUUCACAAAUUCUUCGAAUGUGUCUGGUGAACUUGUUGUAAGAUUAUCAACUAUGAUGUCAAAUAGUGCAUGAAAAGUGAUCAUAUGGGUGACCACCCUCUUUUUCAUGUGUCUGCCUUUCAGUAUUUGCCUUGUUGUUGUAUGCCCAUAGAUGUCCACUUCAAUCCAGACAUUAUCAAUACCACUUGAGUCAUUGAAGCAUCCAAUGCACCUAAGCAUUGCCAUAACUGUGUGCAGUUCUCCAGUUCUAAGGAUCCAAUUGUUUUUGCAGUCAUCUCUCAUCAUUUCAAACUGCUUUGCCUUUUCAUACAGCUGCAUAUUUAAGGUAAUAACAGUCUUCCUUCCAGGGUCAAGGGCAACAGUAUUAAUAUGCUUUGUUUGUUUAAGUGCAGUAAGAAGGGUGCUCCAGUCACAUGCAGAGGCAGCAAUGAGAGGAGUGCUCCUACAAGUAAGACAGGUUUUGCAAUAGAUAUCAUAGCAUUAUAAGGGUGUGUUCUUCAGCCAUGCAGCACUCUCUGUACCUAGCUAUUAACCAGGUAUUUGGAGAACUGUGAAAAAUUUAUUGGUAUCAAUCCCCUGUGUUUUGUAAACAAUUUACUUUAAAGAGUGUUAAUUUUGUGUCUGGUUGUUUCGAACUCUGCCUAAAGAUUUAUCUUACACUGUGAUGUCUGGUUGAAUAGGACUAUGAAUGGGCUUUAUAUUUUGUCAUUUUUUCUGAAAAACAGCUAGAGAUGUAGCAUUCACUGUGCCCUUGCCAUCAGGAGUAUCCUCAUCAGAAUUGUCAAUUGUCAUCUUUGACAAGAAAUGGUAGCAGGUAUCCUUCAUGUACUAACAUAUUUUCAAGAACUGAACAGGCCAACUAUGUUUCUAGUCUCAAUAUUCUCUGUAGUUUACAGACAGAAAAUCUAAGAAGCAAAUCUAUUAUCUUUUUGCUUCUAGUCAUUUGAUGAAUUGCAACUCCAACAGCAAGCUGAUUGGAUAAUUCAGGUUUAUGAAAAAAUCUAGACGCAAUAUACUUUAAUUGGUAUUUUACUUGAUGGUCCAUUUUUGAGGCAAAACUUAAUGUUUAAACAAUAUUCAUUGUGUACUGGUUCACAGCUCCCAUCUAGAAUUUUUACUUAAGGUCCUUGAAAAAUCCACCUGAGAAGCAUGUACAACCUCAUUGGAAUGUAUUCUGAAACAUCACUAUUUUGGAAUGACAUCUCAAAUGUUUCUAUGGCUUGCACUUUGAUAGAUCUGUUCUUAUGAGGCUUGCACUUUGAUAGAUCUGUUCUUAUGAGGCUUGCACAUUGAAAUAAAUACUUAAUGUCUUCUUUGAUGGAGUUUCUUGCUGCUUCCUGCACAACAUCCUCUCUAGUGCCUUUUGAAAAGACCAGCUUUGGCUGAUUUUGCUGCUUUAGUGGAGAAAAUUCUUAGUUUGGAAUAUUUUCCAUUAACUUCUGUUUUAGUUCCUUCGUUUCAAAUGAAGGAUUUAUUACUCCAUUAUUUUUUUAAAUUCUCAAGUAUGUAUCUUGUAAUGCAGCUAUUGACAAUAUAGAACUACCUUGAAGCAAGUUUUCCACUAGUGUGAGCAGUUAUAUAUUUGAGCCAAUUUGCUGUGUGUAUGCAUCUAAAUGGACAUUUUCAGUGAUGUUUAGUGUGUUUCUUGUGCUUAUAUAUGGUGAUGGGAACUCCUUCAGUCCAAGCACAUGAACUACAUGUAUGUCCUAACAACAUUUGUGAUAUUUACCAUCUAUUGCAUCUGAGAUUAAGUGCACCUGCAAGUAUUAUUCUAAGAAUUUCAUUAUCAGAUAUUGUUCCUUAAACUUGAGACCUGCAUUAUAAGUUUUAAAAGUUAAGAUAUCAUGGAGACUGCUUAGGUCAUCAUUUUGACAAAAGAAUCACAAAUUCUUCUUAAAUGAAGUAUAUUUUGAUCAAAGUGUUUCUUCUGUUGAUUACACCAGAAAAGGGCUGGCUGAAUGAUAGCAUUUCCUCUUUUGUUGGCUGCAACAAGCUUAUGUUCUGGUUCUGAAGAGUAUCACUGUAUCUUUUCCUUGUUCUGUUCAAAUGUCCUAAGUGAAAUGUCUUCUGGUAGCAUGGUCUGUGGUAUUUUGCAUUCUUCUCUACAAGUUAUGAUUCUGUAAAGUACAAUUGCAUGUGUUAAUUUAUUGCCACAUAAUCCUUUUUACAUGAACUAACUCUGUCUGGGACUUUCAGGGUUUUAUGUGUAUGUGGGCUAAGGAUUCUUCUACAAUGGGUAUCUGUGACUUGUUUUCAAAUAAUAUAUUCAAAACAAGUCAAACUAUGUACAAAAUUCUUUACACUAUAGGAUAUCACAGUUUUAUCUAAAACUAAAUAAUUUUCUUUUCUUUUCAAAAGUCUACUUAUGCAGAUUCAAUUACUUUAGACUCCAAUUGACAAGACAAACUAUUUUUCUCAGCUCUCAUCACAGUAGUAUCUGAAUAAUUCACUUACACUACCAUGUGGGUUACCACAGUUUUAUCCUGAACUUCAAAUAAUUGUCUCCUUUUUGUCAGAGUCCACACACAUGGGUUCAAUUACUUUAGAACACCCUUUGACAAGACAAGAUAUUAUCCUUAUCUCUAUUAUACUGUGAAAAUCACUUUAAAAUAUUGCCCAUUAUGGCUAAUCACUCACACACAGAUUAACUUCACGAUAACUUUUUUUUCUGAGUGAACUGAACUUUUUUUCGUUACUUUACUUCACAUGACUUGCACUCGCUUAACUGCCUAUAUUUAUAUGUUGUUCACUGAAGCCUCGAACUUUCUGUAAAUUAUGUGAACAGUGUUGAUUUAACAAUACUCAAUUAAGAUAAUGGAAAAAA
This 7647-nucleotide unclassified non-coding RNA is filed under the name Limulus polyphemus (Atlantic horseshoe crab). RNAcentral's name for it is "uDP-N-acetylglucosamine transporter-like, transcript variant X1". Lineage: Eukaryota; Metazoa; Arthropoda; Merostomata; Xiphosura; Limulidae. The record is from RNAcentral.